UGCUGCCUGCAGUAUCCCCUGCAGGACUCUGUGGGGGAGGCACCGCUCUGUGAUGUUCAUUGUGCUGUUCCUUUGAGUCCUCCUCUGUUUGUUCCUUAACCACAGAACCAAAGUAUUGCCAUCUGACAAGCAACAAGAGCAUGUAAGAGCAGCAAAGUGAUUUUAUAAAUCUCAUGGCUAGUGAGGCAGCAGCCAGAAGCCUGACAAAGAGCCAUUGGGGUUGACAAACGCUGAUAGGUUAAGCCAUGAUAACAGUGUCAACGGGAAGGCAAACUCAGCUAACAGACGCUUGCCCUUGAUAACCUGCACCAACUCCACAGUAAGAGUCUACCCAAACCCUUCAGCUUCAUGGCCUACAAUGAACCAAAAACAGAUUAUCCAAGAUGACUGCAUCACUUUGGGAAUAAGAUUAGUUGGGCCCUGAUUCAAGAAAGCAUCCCUAGUCAAGAGAGCACCAAUACAUGUGCUUAAUUUGGACUUUGGUUAGCUGCUGCCUGCAAAGUGAGCAGGAAGAGCUCACCCAUAGUGUGCAUUAUUUUAAAAUGGUACCGUGUGUGUGUGUGUGGUUGUGGGGUUUUUUGUUUUUUGGGUUUUUUGGUGGGGUAAGGGACUAAUAAUAUUAUUUCUUGUCACCAAAAUUGUGGAAUAUUUGAAUCUGGAAAAGAUUUUUCUCUAGAAAAUCAUUUUUAAGUAGGUCAUAUUUCACCCUGGGUCAUAUUUGACCCUACUGAUAGUAUCCCUUUAACUAAAUGCAUUCUUAAAAGUAAUUGGUUCAUUCAGAUUCUGAGUGAGCAGAAAUAAUAUUCCCAGUGUAUUUAGGAUAGCAACAAAAACAAGUGACCAUAUCCUAAAGAAUAUUCAGUCAGAAUUGUUGUAGUUCAGCCUAGCUUGCUGCAGUGGAACAUUUCCAAUGAUUAAUUACAUUACCUUUGCCUACCGGUGUCUCAGGAUGUAUCUCUGACAAUUUAUACUUCAGUGCACAACAGUAAGAGGUAAACUGGACAGGCUGUACUACUUCAACUGUAGAGACACCAUACAGGACA
Molecule: long non-coding RNA, 1043 nt
Organism: Mauremys reevesii (Reeves's turtle)
Lineage: Eukaryota; Metazoa; Chordata; Testudines; Geoemydidae
Exons: 3
Source: RefSeq, a predicted model, not a curated record